This 406-nucleotide ribosomal RNA is filed under the name uncultured bacterium. Its description in RNAcentral is "partial 16S ribosomal RNA". It matches the Rfam family "Bacterial small subunit ribosomal RNA", at positions 30 to 526 of the family's 1533-position model. The record is from RNAcentral.
AUUGAACGCUGGCGGCAGGCCUAACACAUGCAAGUCGAACGAGUGGCGGACGGGUGAGUAAUGUCUGGGAAACUGCCUGAUGGAGGGGGAUAACUACUGGAAAUGGUAGCUAAUACCGCAUACCAUCGGAUCUGCCCAGAUGGGAUUAGCUAGUAGGUGGGGUAACGGCUCACCUAGGCGACGAUCCCUAGCUGGUCUGAGAGGAUGACCGGCCACACGGGAAGUGAGACACGGCCCAGACUCCUACGGGAGGCAGCAGUGGGGAAUAUGGCACAGUGGGCGCAAGCCUGAUGCAGCCAUGCCGCGUGUAUGAAGAAGGCCUUGGGGUUGUAAAGUACUUUCAGCGGGGAGGCGUUACCCGCAGAAGAAGCACCGGCUAACUACGUGCCAGCAGCCGCGGUAAUUC